Long non-coding RNA from Centropristis striata (black sea bass), 677 nucleotides. RefSeq lists it as uncharacterized. The transcript is spliced from 4 exons. The record is from RefSeq and is a predicted model, not a curated record. Lineage: Eukaryota; Metazoa; Chordata; Actinopteri; Perciformes; Serranidae.
ACACAACACAGCUGAUAGGACACACCAUCCAGCUCUGCACAGGAGAAGUUAAUAAUCAAACUUAGCUCUUCCAGACUCAUGCAUCCUUUCAUAAUUUCACAUUUCACUUGCAAAUAUCCAGAAGCAUGCCCAUCAGUUGAUCACAGCUCACACGAUCAAGACCUUUAAUUUUUGCAGACUCCGAUUUUAGAUUCCUUGUCUGCAGACUUGUUGGCAUGCUGACCGCACGGCUCAGUUUUGGGAUUAUGUCAACGCCUUCAGCAGAUGCUAUUGCAUUACAUAAAGAGAUAUGCCAUGCUGGAGAGCUUCCACUCACUCCUAAUGUGUGCAUUCUGGCCACGGGCAACAACUUCACAUCCAGUCCUAUCACUGACAUGGCAACCAAGGAUUCUGGGAGUGUUCCCAAAGCUGCGAUCCAUUACUUGUCAAAGUUUGUAUGCAGGGUAGGCUCACCUCUUUUCUGGACACACCUGUCAGCCAAAAGCCAUUGGAAUAUAUAUAGCAGAGUAUACCCACUUCCUCCUCAGUAACCUACCCAUCUACCUAGUCUGAUGUCCCAGUGGAGGCACAGCAGGUUGUGUGAUGGCAGAGAGGAACAGGACGGAGCAGCUAUUUUUACCUGAAGCCCAGGAGUGAGCUCAACACAGAAGGUGAAGCGGGAGGAGAGUGGAAUUUGG